GGUCCUGUAUUAAACCUUUAAUAUAAGAUUAUACAUCGUAAUGAUUGUAUUAAAACAGAAUUUUAAAUUCGACCAGCAAUAAUAUAAUACUGAAAAUCAAAUUGUUGUUGCAUCUGGAAGCUGAAAAUGUGCACCAUGAACCGGGAUAACUGUUCAGAAACAUAGACACUGACGCACGGUGCCACAGGGCGCAUCAGCCAUGCUUCCGAUCAGUAUGUGCAUCAGGAAACUGGUUACACUGCUAUCGAGGAAAAAAAUACUGUCUGCACGUCACGUGGUUGUGGACAUACUUCCGUAUGCUGGAUACUUCAGGUGAAGUGCAACCACCAAUGGCUGCAUGUAACUACUCGCUCUGUUCUGGCCAGGAGAGAGGUAUAAUCUGAACUUGCCACACUGCUUCAUUGUACUCUGCACGGCAUGGCCCUGUUACAAUGACUGCUGCAUAGUGACUCAUAAUCAGGCUUCUAUCGGAACUGAUAUUACGCCAGAGAAGAUUGUUUUUGUUAUUCUCAAGUGAACACAAAUGAUCCUUCAAUUGUUAUUACGACUUGUGAAUUUUGUGCCACGAACAAAGUGUUUUUGACUUCAACCUGGGAAUAAUCAUUUAAUACAGCAUGCACCUCCCAUGAUGGGCUUUAACAGUGAUAAUGAGGAUUAAACCAGGAUUUAACAAAAUACAAUAAUUUUUCUUAAAGAAAACACAAUAUUUUUAAUAACAACUUAUAUUCUGUCAUUCAACCAUAACAGACAGACACUUGUCAAAAAUAUACAUGAUAUAAAAUUAAAUAUUUCACUUUGUAUGUUUACAACCCACAUGUUCUCAGGAAUUAGUGCAUUCAUAAACAAAAUGCAUACUAACAGUCUUAGUUGAUUAUCAACAAUGAUUAACAGCAAAGAUACACGAAAUGACUAGCUUAGACAUUAUUUAUGAAUAAGUAUGAUUUUUAUGAAAGUGAAUUUUGACACUGUUUUCCCCAAAAUAUUUAUUUGUUUCACUGCGCAAUACUUUCAGGACUAUUAUUACUAUUUUGUAAAUACACGAUUAUUUGAGCAAAUUACAAAUUAAAUCUAGUUGUAAAUAAUAUAUAUAAUUCUUGUCAGUGCUCAUUAUUGCAUCUUCAUUCUUAUGCUUCUUCAAGGGUUAUAGAAUGUACCAAUUGUGUCUAAAGAAUCACUUUAACUAGUAAGAACAUCUUUUGUACUAGUUAUUUGUUACAGUUCAUUUCAUUUCUCCAAAAUAAAAUUCUCAAAUAUAAAUUGGUCUUAUCAAAACAUAAGUGCAUUUAUUGCAAGCAACAUAAUCUCUUCUGCUUCUGUUGUAAAUGGUCUUAAUAAAAUAAUAAAAAAAUAAAUAUGACAGCAACCUCAGAAGAAUCAGCAUUGCUGUGUAAGUGUCUUUGUUUUUAUUGCUGGUAAGUACCUUUUUUUUCUUUGGCCAGUGGUAUUCACUAUUCAAACAAUUGAAUCAGAAUUUUUUUAUAGGU
Long non-coding RNA from Schistocerca cancellata (South American locust), 1484 nucleotides. RefSeq lists it as uncharacterized. The transcript is spliced from 2 exons. Lineage: Eukaryota; Metazoa; Arthropoda; Insecta; Orthoptera; Acrididae. The record is from RefSeq and is a predicted model, not a curated record.